AGGUGCUGCAUGGCUGUCGUCAGCUCGUGCCGUGAGGUGGUUGGUUAACGUCCCGCAACGAGCGCAACCCUAUUUUUAGUUGCCAUCAGGUUAAGCUGGGCACUCUAAAGAGACUGCCGUCGAUAAGGCGGAGGAAGGUGGGGACGACGUCAAGUCAUCAUGGCCCUUAUGUCCAGGGCGACACACGUGCUACAAUGGCCGGCACAACGGGAAGCGAGUUCGCGAGGACGAGCGGAUCCCUCAAAGCCGGUCGCAGUUCGGAUUGAAGUCUGCAACUCGACUUCAUGAAGCUGGAAUCGCUAGUAAUCGUGGAUCAGCCAAGCCGCGGUGAAUACGUUCCCGGGCCUU
RNAcentral lists this ribosomal RNA (348 nucleotides) under uncultured Synergistaceae bacterium. RNAcentral describes it as "bacterial SSU rRNA". It matches the Rfam family "Bacterial small subunit ribosomal RNA", at positions 1036 to 1382 of the family's 1533-position model. The record is from RNAcentral. Lineage: Bacteria; Thermotogati; Synergistota; Synergistia; Synergistales; Synergistaceae.